UCUGGGCCAGGCUGCUCUUCUCUGAAGCUUUCUAAUGCCGUUGUAAACCUCUGGGAAAGCUUUCUGGAUUAUUCUCUCACCACAAGCACCCACAAGACAAACCGGACAAGCUGUUAAGCACAGACGGAAGUUGCAGAAAAGUUUAACACUGCCAGGGAGUGUGUCUCCAGAUGCACCAAGCUUGAGUGUGGCUGGCCCCACCUGGCUCAUGUGCCCCUUGGCAGGCUGCUUCCCAUCACGUUGUCCACAACACAUGCACCUGGGUUUGAUGUUAGACUCAAGAAAAGAUCUAUUUUCUUGCUUCCAACACCUCCCCUUGGUGACUCCCUUGGGCCCUCAUCCUCCUCUCCAUUGUUACAUCUCAAUGAGCAGAACCAGGACAUGAAGAGUUGUUCUCCAGUUGGCCGCCUUUUCCCUCUUCCUUGGGCUCCAUCCCACCCGGUCGUGAAGGUACUGUGGAAUCACGACUGCUGACAGCCUCCCUCUGGCCACGCCACCCAUCUCCUCCAUACUUGGACACACUUGCUUCAUCAUCUCUCUGGAGCCCAGUGAGGCUUCACUCACCACCUGCUUUGCCUCCAUCAACUUGAAGCCCUCCUGCCUCCUCACCUUGGAACUGCUCCCCACGGGGAGCCCAUCCUCGGAGCCUUGCUUCCAUGGGAAGGUGACUGUCUCUCCAAACGUCAGCCCAUUUCAAGACUGGAGAUGAUGUUGCAGACACAGAGCUGGUCUUGGGAGCACCCGUAAGAGACAUAUGCGCAGAGCUUCCCGAGGCACACCCACUUGGCACACCAGUGGUUUGUGCCUAUGCAGGGUUUAAAGAAAUGGAGUUUGGAGAAUUGGGCCAAAACCACAAAUGGAAUCAGCCCUUUCUGAUGAAAUCAUCUGAUUUUCUCAGAAAGCUGCUGGAGGUGAUGGAAACUUGGAAAGAUGUCGGUGGCUUUUGAGACAUGGGAUUUGACAAGGGAACUGCAUCCAACAGUUUGUCAGAGGAGUUCCGAGGUGGCUCCUCUGAGAACACCUAUUUUGUUCUUUCCCUUCUCCAUGAUAUGAAGUCUCGCUCUGUCGGCCAGGCUGGAGUGCAUUAUCCAGAGCUGUUGGACAAAUCCAGAGCUGUUAUUGUACCUUCAGGUCAUGUGGAAUGGAAGAUGCUAUGGAAGCUGAUUGGAACUGUGAGGAACUGAAAUCAUCUCCACCUGGAGCAAUUAAACAUGGACCUUGGAAGCCUUGCCUUUGAGAGGCCCAGGGCAACCUGUCCUACCUACCAGCUGCCCCAUCAGGGGGUAAUCCACUGAUCACCUCCCUCUGUUGGCACAGCAAUCCUGACACCUACAUCUGUGGGGCAACCUUCCCUAUCACCUGCACCUUUUGGAAUUUUGACUCCACCGUGGAGCCUAAGUGAAGCAUGGAGUCUGGGAAAACAAAGCAGAAGCCACUUAUUUGAAGAAAGAGAAAAUCCCACCCAUCCUUUCACCGUGAACCUGGAGUCCCACGGCUAGCUGCUUAGCUGGCUGCACUGUCGCGUUAAAUAGUUUCCCUGGAAGAGAAAUUGUCCUCUUAGAUUUUCAUUCGUUUUGUUGUUUCCUGUGGAUUUUGGGGAGAGGAGGAGCAUCUCCCCUGCACAGCUGCAAACUCAGGUUAGCUGGGUUAUACUCCUGUGCCGGAGCUUGCAGCAGGUGAUCAGGCCUGUGUACAUGAGGCUGUGGAGAGGCAGGGUGGGUACUGGGGCCAGGGGACUUCCAGGAAAUAAAGCUCCUACCUGAAAUGAUAAACAGAGGAAUAUAGUUUAGCCAAUUAGAGAGAAAUUAUUUCUAAAAACUCAAUAAAAUGUAGUUUAACCUUUCUCUCAUUUUCUGGUUUAUUCAUUUGAAUUUUAACUCUU
This 1882-nucleotide long non-coding RNA is filed under the name Homo sapiens (human). Its description in RNAcentral is "HSALNT0049231". Lineage: Eukaryota; Metazoa; Chordata; Mammalia; Primates; Hominidae. The record is from RNAcentral.